AAGUCGUAACAAGGUUUCCGUAGGUGAACCUGCGGGAGGAUCAUUAUUGGAUAAGCUUGGUUGGGUUGUUGCUGGCUCUCAGGGGCAUGUGCACGCCUAACACCAACUUUUACCACCUGUGCACAUUUUGUAGACCUGGAUAAAACUCUCGAGGAAACUCGGUUUGAGGAAUGCUGUGCGCAAGCCAGCUUUCCUUGUACUUCUGGUCUAUGUUUUUAUAUAUACACACACCCCUAUAGUAUGUCUCGGAAUGUUUGUUUGUUGGGCUUGAAUGCCUUUAAACUUAAUACAACUUUCAACAACGGAUCUCUUGGCUCUCGCAUCGAUGAAGAACGCAGCGAAAUGCGAUAAGUAAUGUGAAUUGCAGAAUUCAGUGAAUCAUCGAAUCUUUGAACGCACCUUGCGCUCCUUGGUAUUCCGAGGAGCAUGCCUGUUUGAGUGUCAUGAAAUUCUCAACCUUUUCAGCUUUUUCUGUUGAUCAGGCUUGGAUGUGGGAGUAUGCGGGCUUCUCAGAAGUCGGCUCUCCUGAAAUGCAUUAGCGGGACCUUUGUUGCCUUGCUUUGGUGUGAUAAUUAUCUACGCCAUUCGUGAAGAGCAGCUUUAUAAACGGGGUUCAGCUUCUAAAGGUCUCUUUUGAGACAACUUCUGACAAUUUGACCUCAANUCAGGUAGGACUACCCGCUGACUUNAGCAUAUCAAUAAGCGGAGGAAAAGAAACUAACAAGGAUUCCCCUAGUAACUGCGAGUGAAGCGGGAAAAGCUCAAAUUUAAAAUCUGAGGGUCUUUAUGGCCUUCCGAGUUGUAAUCUAGAGAAGUGCUAUCCGCGCUGGACCGUGUACAAGUCUCCUGGAACGGAGCGUCAUAGAGGGUGAGAAUCCCGUCUUUGACACGGACUACCAGGGCUUAUGUGAUACGCUCUCAAAGAGUCGAGUUGUUUGGGAAUGCAGCUCUAAAUGGGUGGUAAAUUCCAUCUAAAGCUAAAUAUUGGCGAGAGACCGAUAGCGAACAAGUACCGUGAGGGAAAGAUGAAAAGAACUUUGGAAAGAGAGUUAAAAAGUACGUGAAAUUGUUGAAAGGGAAACGCUUGAAGUCAGUCGCAUUGGCCAGGGAUCAACCUUGCUUUUGCUUGGUGUAUUUUCUGGUUAAUGGGUCAGCAUCAAUUUUGAUCGGUGGAAAAAGAUCAAGGGAAUGUGGCAUCUUCGGAUGUGUUAUAGCCCUUGGUUGUAUACAUCGAUUGGGAUUGAGGAACUCAGCACGCCGCAAGGCCGGGUUUUUAACCACGUACGUGCUUAGGAUGCUGGCAUAAUGGCUUUAAUCGACCCGUCUUGAAACACGGACC
This 1339-nucleotide ribosomal RNA is filed under the name uncultured fungus. Its description in RNAcentral is "eukaryotic LSU rRNA". The stretch from base 655 to 1339 matches the Rfam family "Eukaryotic large subunit ribosomal RNA", at positions 1 to 667 of the family's 3401-position model. Lineage: Eukaryota; Fungi. The record is from RNAcentral.